AGCGGCAGGCUUAACACAUGCAAGUCGAGGGGCAGCACGGGUAGCAAUACCUGGUUGGCGACCGGCGCAAGGGUGCGUAACGCGUGAGCAACAUGCCCUAUACAGGGGGAUAAUCCAGGGAAACUUGGUCUAAUAUCCCAUAGUAUUUAGAGGAGGCAUCUUCUAUAAAUUAAAGCUUCGGUGGUAUAGGAUUGGCUCGCGUGACAUUAGCUAGAUGGUGAGGUAACGGCUCACCAUGGCAAUGAUGUCUAGGGGUUCUGAGAGGAAGGCCCCCACACUGGGACUGAGACACGGCCCAGACUCCUACGGGAGGCAGCAGUGAGGAAUAUUGGACAAUGGAUGGAAAUCUGAUCCAGCCAUGCCGCGUGCAGGAAGACAGCCCUAUGGGUUGUAAACUGCUUUUAUAUGGGAGCAAUAAGGUCUACGUGUAGACUGAUGAGAGUACCAUAUGAAUAAGCAUCGGCUAACUCCGUG
This 474-nucleotide ribosomal RNA is filed under the name uncultured bacterium. Its description in RNAcentral is "bacterial SSU rRNA". It matches the Rfam family "Bacterial small subunit ribosomal RNA", at positions 39 to 507 of the family's 1533-position model. The record is from RNAcentral.